UGCUGGAGUCCUGAAAUUUAUAAAUGAUGUCCGCCUUGUCCUAAAGAUGCUUCAUACCAAAUUUGAAAACAAUUAACGUAUCGCGGGCUGUCAAUCAAAGUAAAUUUUCAACCAAUGAAAUAAUUGCAUUUAUUUAGCGCGUUGCGGUAUAUUCGUACUCCGCCAUAUGCUCCGACAAACAAUCGCAGAACGAACAAGAUAGAUCUAUUAGCAAAUCCAGUGAACGAAGACAAAAAUGGUGAAGAGAUGCAGUUGGGAGACGUGUAACACCGACGACAGGUAUCCUGAGAGGCUAGAGGAGGAGUUAAAUUCAUCCCGUUUCCCAAACCGGCAACAAAUCUUGAGAAAUGCAAGCGGUGGAUUAAACUUUGCGGCAGGCCUACCUACCAACUUAACGAGGAUCUUUUGAGAGAUCGAAAUAAAUCAAAGCACUUUUAUGUAUGCACAAAGGGAGGUGACCAUUCUACAUUGAUCCAGUGCCUUUUUAUGGGAUUCGAAACUGUGACUGUGAGAUGUAUGAGAGUUUGACUUCUAGGCGGGCAAUUCUACUUUCACUUUAAACGGUAAGUUGAAAAGAGCAUGCUGCAUCUUUGAUGUAAAAUAUCUCGAAAAGGAAUCAAGGACCCUAUUGCAAAUUUGGCCUUGUUGGAAAGGUUAGGAAUUUUGCUGAAAGUUGAUAUCUGUCAUUAUACUGGGGAAAUUUUUUUUUUUUGAAUUAGGAGGGGUUGAAAAUGGGUAUAUUUUCCUCAUUUUUGUUGCUUUUUUACUUCCAGGAUGGCAGGUGCCUGAGUGUAUCUCGACCCAUUUCCAGGCUAGCAUCAGAUGUCAUGAUGGACCUUUAAAAUCUUUCACAUGUGUGCUUUCAAGAACCAUAUACAUUAUUUUUGAAAAUUGGUUGCCAUGGUAAUAAAAUCUGAAAAUUAACACAUGGACUUCUGAAGGCGAAUUUUCCUCCAUUUCCUGGUAGUUUGUGACCUUAAGCACAAAUCAGCUUGAAACUUGAAUUUUCCAGGCAAGAAUUUUUUUGUUUAUUGUGUUUAAAUAUGAUGUUUAUGCUUUAAAUAUGAGGUUUAUACUUAAUAUUAUUGAUUUCAUUGAAAUUGAAGGUCAUCGAUUAGUAAAUAUGUCAGAAGUAUUCUUAGCAAUUGGUCGAGUGUGAGUGCAAGAAAUUUCUCCUCAGCCAUAAAUUUUCUAUGAAAGUUUUUUGCAAUGCUAAUGAUGGAUAGAUGUGUGUGUGUGUGUCUGUCUGUCUGUCUGUCUGUCUGUCUGUCUGUGUGUGUGUGUCUGUCAAUCAGUGAGUGAGUGAGUGUGUGUGUCUGUCUGUCUGUCUGUGUGCGUGUCUUUCUGUGUGCAUAUGUGUGUGCGUGCGCGCGCAUGCAUGUGUACGUGUCUGUCUGUGUAUGUGUUUGUCUGUGUGACUGACUAUGUGUUUGUGUGUCUGUCUGUCUGUGUGUGUGUUUGUCUGUGUGUGUGUUUGUCUGUCUGUAUAUGUAUGUGUGUGUGUUUGUCUGUCUGUAUAUGUAUGUUUGUCUGUGUAUACCCGUUCUAUGUGUGUGUUUAUCAGUGUGUGUCUGUCUGUGUGUGUUUGUCUAUGUAUGUGUUGUGUGUAUCUGUCUGUGUGUCUGUCAGGUAGUCAUAGAGAAACAGAUAAAGCUUCAGAAUAUAAAUUUCAAUUUUAUUGAAUUCACUGUAUAUUGCAUAAGGAUCACUAACAUAGGUGUGAUACACUGUACAUCUAGUGGAGUACACCGACUUUUCAGAAACUUUUUGAUAUGUCAUCCAUACGCAUCCUGGCAUGAAACUGCUUCGCUUCUGUUUGUCUAUUUGAAUUACACCAGUGGAUCUACAUAGGCUAGCUUAACUAUGACAUCAUAAUAUAACACGUAAUGUGAUGUCAUAAUAGAGUAAUGACAUCAGAUUUUUUUUUUUUUUUUUUUUUUCUUGGCUAGAGUUAUCUUCCUUGACAAAUAUUCUUCUUCAUACAAAGGUGUCUUAUUUUGACUUAUGUUUAUUAGAUAAAAGCAUGAUAUCAGGGUAAUUUAUUAAAGAUGUGACGGUUUAGACGAACCAAUUUUUAGGGCAAAUUUCUCAUUGAAAUAAGUUUUUUUGAACUUGAAAAAACAGAAAACAGACUCUCCAGGAUUGCUCAAGUUAACAUCCUUACUGGCCAUUUCAGGGUUUUUUUCUCUACAAUUCCUUUUAUUUCACAUCAAAUUUCCUUAAAAUACAAUUCUAGUCUUUAUUUGGAAUCAAAAUCGCAUGUAUUUCACUCAGUUCUGGGUCUUUUAUUCUAUUUUCAACUUUACCAAGGGGAAGAACUCUGCUGGAAACAGUGAUGUGAAGAGGGCAGUUUUUGUUCACUCAUUUCAAGAUAUAAUGAACAAUAACUCCCCAUGUAUGAUACAUCAUUUUACUCGGAAAAACUUAAAUUUUUAAACAGUAUAGGUAUUUCAUGAUGUCGUAGAAUUUCCGCAGUCUUUAAAGUCUCAAUAUACCUGGCGAAUUGCCAAUACGAAGCUAAAGUGACCAGGGUUAAAAUGUAAAUAUGUUAAAAGAGUAUUUUAUAGAAUUUAAAUAGUUUCAUUGUUAUUGAUAUCUGUAUUAAUAUAGGGAGGUGACCAUUCUACAUUGAUCCAGUGCCUUUUUAUGGGAUUCGAAACUGUGACUGUGAGAUGUAUGAGAGUUUGACUUCUAGGCGGGCAAUUCUACUUUCACUUUAAACGGUAAGUUGAAAAGAGCAUGCUGCAUCUUUGAUGUAAAAUAUCUCGAAAAGGAAUCAAGGACCCUAUUGCAAAUUUGGCCUUGUUGGAAAGGUUAGGAAUUUUGCUGAAAGUUGAUAUCUGUCAUUAUACUGGGGAAAUUUUUUUUUUUUGAAUUAGGAGGGGUUGAAAAUGGGUAUAUUUUCCUCAUUUUUGUUGCUUUUUUACUUCCAGGAUGGCAGGUGCCUGAGUGUAUCUCGACCCAUUUCCAGGCUAGCAUCAGAUGUCAUGAUGGACCUUUAAAAUCUUUCACAUGUGUGCUUUCAAGAACCAUAUACAUUAUUUUUGAAAAUUGGUUGCCAUGGUAAUAAAAUCUGAAAAUUAACACAUGGACUUCUGAAGGCGAAUUUUCCUCCAUUUCCUGGUAGUUUGUGACCUUAAGCACAAAUCAGCUUGAAACUUGAAUUUUCCAGGCAAGAAUUUUUUUGUUUAUUGUGUUUAAAUAUGAUGUUUAUGCUUUAAAUAUGAGGUUUAUACUUAAUAUUAUUGAUUUCAUUGAAAUUGAAGGUCAUCGAUUAGUAAAUAUGUCAGAAGUAUUCUUAGCAAUUGGUCGAGUGUGAGUGCAAGAAAUUUCUCCUCAGCCAUAAAUUUUCUAUGAAAGUUUUUUGCAAUGCUAAUGAUGGAUAGAUGUGUGUGUGUGUGUCUGUCUGUCUGUCUGUCUGUCUGUCUGUGUGUGUGUGUCUGUCAAUCAGUGAGUGAGUGAGUGUGUGUGUCUGUCUGUCUGUCUGUGUGCGUGUCUUUCUGUGUGCAUAUGUGUGUGCGUGCGCGCGCAUGCAUGUGUACGUGUCUGUCUGUGUAUGUGUUUGUCUGUGUGACUGACUAUGUGUUUGUGUGUCUGUCUGUCUGUGUGUGUGUUUGUCUGUGUGUGUGUUUGUCUGUCUGUAUAUGUAUGUGUGUGUGUUUGUCUGUCUGUAUAUGUAUGUUUGUCUGUGUAUACCCGUUCUAUGUGUGUGUUUAUCAGUGUGUGUCUGUCUGUGUGUGUUUGUCUAUGUAUGUGUUGUGUGUAUCUGUCUGUGUGUCUGUCAGGUAGUCAUAGAGAAACAGAUAAAGCUUCAGAAUAUAAAUUUCAAUUUUAUUGAAUUCACUGUAUAUUGCAUAAGGAUCACUAACAUAGGUGUGAUACACUGUACAUCUAGUGGAGUACACCGACUUUUCAGAAACUUUUUGAUAUGUCAUCCAUACGCAUCCUGGCAUGAAACUGCUUCGCUUCUGUUUGUCUAUUUGAAUUACACCAGUGGAUCUACAUAGGCUAGCUUAACUAUGACAUCAUAAUAUAACACGUAAUGUGAUGUCAUAAUAGAGUAAUGACAUCAGAUUUUUUUUUUUUUUUUUUUUUUCUUGGCUAGAGUUAUCUUCCUUGACAAAUAUUCUUCUUCAUACAAAGGUGUCUUAUUUUGACUUAUGUUUAUUAGAUAAAAGCAUGAUAUCAGGGUAAUUUAUUAAAGAUGUGACGGUUUAGACGAACCAAUUUUUAGGGCAAAUUUCUCAUUGAAAUAAGUUUUUUUGAACUUGAAAAAACAGAAAACAGACUCUCCAGGAUUGCUCAAGUUAACAUCCUUACUGGCCAUUUCAGGGGUUUUUUCUCUACAAUUCCUUUUAUUUCACAUCAAAUUUCCUUAAAAUACAAUUCUAGUCUUUAUUUGGAAUCAAAAUCGCAUGUAUUUCACUCAGUUCUGGGUCUUUUAUUCUAUUUUCAACUUUACCAAGGGGAAGAACUCUGCUGGAAACAGUGAUGUGAAGAGGGCAGUUUUUGUUCACUCAUUUCAAGAUAUAAUGAACAAUAACUCCCCAUGUAUGAUACAUCAUUUUACUCGGAAAAACUUAAAUUUUUAAACAGUAUAGGUAUUUCAUGAUGUCGUAGAAUUUCCGCAGUCUUUAAGCACAAAUCAGCUUGAAACUUGAAUUUUCCAGGCAAGAAUUUUUUUGUUUAUUGUGUUUAAAUAUGAUGUUUAUGCUUUAAAUAUGAGGUUUAUACUUAAUAUUAUUGAUUUCAUUGAAAUUGAAGGUCAUCGAUUAGUAAAUAUGUCAGAAGUAUUCUUAGCAAUUGGUCGAGUGUGAGUGCAAGAAAUUUCUCCUCAGCCAUAAAUUUUCUAUGAAAGUUUUUUGCAAUGCUAAUGAUGGAUAGAUGUGUGUGUGUGUGUCUGUCUGUCUGUCUGUCUGUCUGUGUGUGUGUGUCUGUCAAUCAGUGAGUGAGUGAGUGUGUGUGUCUGUCUGUCUGUCUGUGUGCGUGUCUUUCUGUGUGCAUAUGUGUGUGCGUGCGCGCGCAUGCAUGUGUACGUGUCUGUCUGUGUAUGUGUUUGUCUGUGUGACUGACUAUGUGUUUGUGUGUCUGUCUGUCUGUGUGUGUGUUUGUCUGUGUGUGUGUUUGUCUGUCUGUAUAUGUAUGUGUGUGUGUUUGUCUGUCUGUAUAUGUAUGUUUGUCUGUGUAUACCCGUUCUAUGUGUGUGUUUAUCAGUGUGUGUCUGUCUGUGUGUGUUUGUCUAUGUAUGUGUUGUGUGUAUCUGUCUGUGUGUCUGUCAGGUAGUCAUAGAGAAACAGAUAAAGCUUCAGAAUAUAAAUUUCAAUUUUAUUGAAUUCACUGUAUAUUGCAUAAGGAUCACUAACAUAGGUGUGAUACACUGUACAUCUAGUGGAGUACACCGACUUUUCAGAAACUUUUUGAUAUGUCAUCCAUACGCAUCCUGGCAUGAAACUGCUUCGCUUCUGUUUGUCUAUUUGAAUUACACCAGUGGAUCUACAUAGGCUAGCUUAACUAUGACAUCAUAAUAUAACACGUAAUGUGAUGUCAUAAUAGAGUAAUGACAUCAGAUUUUUUUUUUUUUUUUUUUUUCUUGGCUAGAGUUAUCUUCCUUGACAAAUAUUCUUCUUCAUACAAAGGUGUCUUAUUUUGACUUAUGUUUAUUAGAUAAAAGCAUGAUAUCAGGGUAAUUUAUUAAAGAUGUGACGGUUUAGACGAACCAAUUUUUAGGGCAAAUUUCUCAUUGAAAUAAGUUUUUUUGAACUUGAAAAAACAGAAAACAGACUCUCCAGGAUUGCUCAAGUUAACAUCCUUACUGGCCAUUUCAGGGUUUUUUUCUCUACAAUUCCUUUUAUUUCACAUCAAAUUUCCUUAAAAUACAAUUCUAGUCUUUAUUUGGAAUCAAAAUCGCAUGUAUUUCACUCAGUUCUGGGUCUUUUAUUCUAUUUUCAACUUUACCAAGGGGAAGAACUCUGCUGGAAACAGUGAUGUGAAGAGGGCAGUUUUUGUUCACUCAUUUCAAGAUAUAAUGAACAAUAACUCCCCAUGUAUGAUACAUCAUUUUACUCGGAAAAACUUAAAUUUUUAAACAGUAUAGGUAUUUCAUGAUGUCGUAGAAUUUCCGCAGUCUUUAAGCACAAAUCAGCUUGAAACUUGAAUUUUCCAGGCAAGAAUUUUUUUGUUUAUUGUGUUUAAAUAUGAUGUUUAUGCUUUAAAUAUGAGGUUUAUACUUAAUAUUAUUGAUUUCAUUGAAAUUGAAGGUCAUCGAUUAGUAAAUAUGUCAGAAGUAUUCUUAGCAAUUGGUCGAGUGUGAGUGCAAGAAAUUUCUCCUCAGCCAUAAAUUUUCUAUGAAAGUUUUUUGCAAUGCUAAUGAUGGAUAGAUGUGUGUGUGUGUGUCUGUCUGUCUGUCUGUCUGUCUGUCUGUCUGUGUGUGUGUGUCUGUCAAUCAGUGAGUGAGUGAGUGUGUGUGUCUGUCUGUCUGUCUGUGUGCGUGUCUUUCUGUGUGCAUAUGUGUGUGCGUGCGCGCGCAUGCAUGUGUACGUGUCUGUCUGUGUAUGUGUUUGUCUGUGUGACUGACUAUGUGUUUGUGUGUCUGUCUGUCUGUGUGUGUGUUUGUCUGUGUGUGUGUUUGUCUGUCUGUAUAUGUAUGUGUGUGUGUUUGUCUGUCUGUAUAUGUAUGUUUGUCUGUGUAUACCCGUUCUAUGUGUGUGUUUAUCAGUGUGUGUCUGUCUGUGUGUGUUUGUCUAUGUAUGUGUUGUGUGUAUCUGUCUGUGUGUCUGUCAGGUAGUCAUAGAGAAACAGAUAAAGCUUCAGAAUAUAUAUUUCAAUUUUAUUGAAUUCACUGUAUAUUGCAUAAGGAUCACUAACAUAGGUGUGAUACACUGUACAUCUAGUGGAGUACACCGACUUUUCAGAAACUUUUUGAUAUGUCAUCCAUACGCAUCCUGGCAUGAAACUGCUUCGCUUCUGUUUGUCUAUUUGAAUUACACCAGUGGAUCUACAUAGGCUAGCUUAACUAUGACAUCAUAAUAUAACACGUAAUGUGAUGUCAUAAUAGAGUAAUGACAUCAGAUUUUUUUUUUUUUUUUUUUUUUCUUGGCUAGAGUUAUCUUCCUUGACAAAUAUUCUUCUUCAUACAAAGGUGUCUUAUUUUGACUUAUGUUUAUUAGAUAAAAGCAUGAUAUCAGGGUAAUUUAUUAAAGAUGUGACGGUUUAGACGAACCAAUUUUUAGGGCAAAUUUCUCAUUGAAAUAAGUUUUUUUGAACUUGAAAAAACAGAAAACAGACUCUCCAGGAUUGCUCAAGUUAACAUCCUUACUGGCCAUUUCAGGGUUUUUUUCUCUACAAUUCCUUUUAUUUCACAUCAAAUUUCCUUAAAAUACAAUUCUAGUCUUUAUUUGGAAUCAAAAUCGCAUGUAUUUCACUCAGUUCUGGGUCUUUUAUUCUAUUUUCAACUUUACCAAGGGGAAGAACUCUGCUGGAAACAGUGAUGUGAAGAGGGCAGUUUUUGUUCACUCAUUUCAAGAUAUAAUGAACAAUAACUCCCCAUGUAUGAUACAUCAUUUUACUCGGAAAAACUUAAAUUUUUAAACAGUAUAGGUAUUUCAUGAUGUCGUAGAAUUUCCGCAGUCUUUAAAGUCUCAAUAUACCUGGCGAAUUGCCAAUACGAAGCUAAAGUGACCAGGGUUAAAAUGUAAAUAUGUUAAAAGAGUAUUUUAUAGAAUUUAAAUAGUUUCAUUGUUAUUGAUAUCUGUAUUAAUAUAGGGAGGUGACCAUUCUACAUUGAUCCAGUGCCUUUUUAUGGGAUUCGAAACUGUGACUGUGAGAUGUAUGAGAGUUUGACUUCUAGGCGGGCAAUUCUACUUUCACUUUAAACGGUAAGUUGAAAAGAGCAUGCUGCAUCUUUGAUGUAAAAUAUCUCGAAAAGGAAUCAAGGACCCUAUUGCAAAUUUGGCCUUGUUGGAAAGGUUAGGAAUUUUGCUGAAAGUUGAUAUCUGUCAUUAUACUGGGGAAAUUUUUUUUUUUUGAAUUAGGAGGGGUUGAAAAUGGGUAUAUUUUCCUCAUUUUUGUUGCUUUUUUACUUCCAGGAUGGCAGGUGCCUGAGUGUAUCUCGACCCAUUUCCAGGCUAGCAUCAGAUGUCAUGAUGGACCUUUAAAAUCUUUCACAUGUGUGCUUUCAAGAACCAUAUACAUUAUUUUUGAAAAUUGGUUGCCAUGGUAAUAAAAUCUGAAAAUUAA
This is a long non-coding RNA of Ostrea edulis (European flat oyster), 8235 nucleotides long. RefSeq lists it as uncharacterized. The record is from RefSeq and is a predicted model, not a curated record. The transcript is spliced from 2 exons. Lineage: Eukaryota; Metazoa; Mollusca; Bivalvia; Ostreida; Ostreidae.